RNAcentral lists this ribosomal RNA (460 nucleotides) under uncultured bacterium. Its description in RNAcentral is "partial 16S ribosomal RNA". It matches the Rfam family "Bacterial small subunit ribosomal RNA", at positions 338 to 795 of the family's 1533-position model. The record is from RNAcentral.
CCUACGGGAGGCAGCAGUGAGGAAUAUUGGUCAAUGGACGCAAGUCUGAACCAGCCAUGCCGCGUGCAGGAAGACGGCUCUAUGAGUUGUAAACUGCUUUUGUACGAGGGUAAACGCCGAUAAGCGUAUCUUUCUGAACGUAUCGUACUAAUAAGGAUCGGCUAACUCCGUGCCAGCAGCCGCGGUAAUACGGAGGAUUCAAGCGUUAUCCGGAUUUAUUGGGUUUAAAGGGUGCGUAGGCGGUCGGAUAAGUUAGAGGUGAAAUCCCGAGGCUCAACUUCGGAAUUGCCUCUGAUACUGGUCGGCUAGAGUGUAGUUGCGGUAGGCGGAAUGUAUGGUGUAGCGGUGAAAUGCUUAGAGAUCAGACAGAACACCGAUGGCGAAGGCAGCUUACCAAGCUACAUCUGACGUUGAGGCACGAAAGCGUGGGGAGCAAACAGGAUUAGAUACCCUAGUAGUC